This 432-nucleotide ribosomal RNA is filed under the name uncultured bacterium. RNAcentral's name for it is "partial 16S ribosomal RNA". It matches the Rfam family "Bacterial small subunit ribosomal RNA", at positions 29 to 506 of the family's 1533-position model. The record is from RNAcentral.
AACGAACGCUGGCGGCAGGCCUAACACAUGCAAGUCGAGCGAGGACUUCGGUUCUAGCGGCGGACGGGUGAGUAACGCGUGGGAAUGUGCCCUUCUCUACGGAAUAGCCCUGGGAAACUGGGAGUAAUACCGUAUACGCCCUAUUGGGGAAAGAUUUAUCGGAGAAGGAUCAGCCCGCGUUGGAUUAGGUAGUUGGUGGGGUAAUGGCCUACCAAGCCGACGAUCCAUAGCUGGUUUGAGAGGAUGAUCAGCCACACUGGGACUGAGACACGGCCCAGACCCCCACGGGGGGGAGAGGGGGGGAAUUUUAGACAAUGGGGGCAACCCUGAUUUAGCCAUGCCGGGGGAGUGAGGAAGGCCUUAGGGUUUUAAAGCUCUUUCGGCGGGGAAGAAAAUGACGGUACCAGCAAAAGAAGCCCCGGCUAACCCCGU